RNAcentral lists this ribosomal RNA (2907 nucleotides) under Klebsiella pneumoniae. RNAcentral's name for it is "23S ribosomal RNA". It matches the Rfam family "Bacterial large subunit ribosomal RNA". The record is from RNAcentral. Lineage: Bacteria; Pseudomonadati; Pseudomonadota; Gammaproteobacteria; Enterobacterales; Enterobacteriaceae.
GGGUUGUGAGGUUAAGCGACUAAGCGUACACGGUGGAUGCCCUGGCAGUCAGAGGCGAUGAAGGACGUGCUAAUCUGCGAAAAGCGUCGGUAAGGUGAUAUGAACCGUUAUAACCGGCGAUGUCCGAAUGGGGAAACCCAGUGCAAUUCGUUGCACUAUCGUUAACUGAAUACAUAGGUUAACGAGGCGAACCGGGGGAACUGAAACAUCUAAGUACCCCGAGGAAAAGAAAUCAACCGAGAUUCCCCCAGUAGCGGCGAGCGAACGGGGAGCAGCCCAGAGUCUGAAUCAGCUUGUGUGUUAGUGGAACGGUCUGGAAAGUCCGACGGUACAGGGUGAUAGUCCCGUACACCAAAAUGCACAGGUUGUGAACUCGAAGAGUAGGGCGGGACACGUGGUAUCCUGUCUGAAUAUGGGGACCAUCCUCCAAGGCUAAAUACUCCUGACUGACCGAUAGUGAACCAGUACCGUGAGGGAAAGGCGAAAAGAACCCCGGCGAGGGAGUGAAAAGAACCUGAAACCGUGUACGUACAAGCAGUGGGAGCACCUUCGGGUGUGACUGCGUACCUUUGUAUAAUGGGUCAGCGACUUAUAUUCUGUAGCAAGGUUAACCGUAUAGGGAGCCGCAGGAAACCGAGUCUUAACUGGGCGUUAAGUUGCAGGGUAUAGACCCGAAACCCGGUGAUCUAGCCAUGGGCAGGUUGAAGGUUGGGUAACACUAACUGGAGGACCGAACCGACUAAUGUUGAAAAAUUAGCGGAUGACUUGUGGCUGGGGUGAAAGGCCAAUCAAACCGGGAGAUAGCUGGUUCUCCCGAAAGCUAUUUAGGUAGCGCCUCGUGAACUCAUCUUCGGGGGUAGAGCACUGUUUCGGCUAGGGGGUCAUCCCGACUUACCAACCCGAUGCAAACUACGAAUACCGAAGAAUGUUAUCACGGGAGACACACGGCGGGUGCUAACGUCCGUCGUGAAGAGGGAAACAACCCAGACCGCCAGCUAAGGUCCCAAAGUCAUGGUUAAGUGGGAAACGAUGUGGGAAGGCACAGACAGCCAGGAUGUUGGCUUAGAAGCAGCCAUCAUUUAAAGAAAGCGUAAUAGCUCACUGGUCGAGUCGGCCUGCGCGGAAGAUGUAACGGGGCUAAACCAUGCACCGAAGCUGCGGCAGCGACACUAUGUGUUGUUGGGUAGGGGAGCGUUCUGUAAGCCUGCGAAGGUGUGCUGUGAGGCAUGCUGGAGGUAUCAGAAGUGCGAAUGCUGACAUAAGUAACGAUAAAGCGGGUGAAAAGCCCGCUCGCCGGAAGACCAAGGGUUCCUGUCCAACGUUAAUCGGGGCAGGGUGAGUCGACCCCUAAGGCGAGGCCGAAAGGCGUAGUCGAUGGGAAACAGGUUAAUAUUCCUGUACUUGGUGUUACUGCGAAGGGGGGACGGAGAAGGCUAUGUUAGCCGGGCGACGGUUGUCCCGGUUUAAGCAUGUAGGCUGGUUGUCCAGGCAAAUCCGGAUAAUCAAGGCUGAGGUGUGAUGACGAGGCACUACGGUGCUGAAGUAACAAAUGCCCUGCUUCCGUGAAAGCCUCUAAGCAUCAGGUAACAUUAAAUCGUACCCCAAACCGACACAGGUGGUCAGGUAGAGAAUACCAAGGCGCUUGAGAGAACUCGGGUGAAGGAACUAGGCAAAAUGGUGCCGUAACUUCGGGAGAAGGCACGCUGGUGUGUAGGUGAAGCCCCUGCGGGUGGAGCUGAGACCAGUCGAAGAUACCAGCUGGCUGCAACUGUUUAUUAAAAACACAGCACUGUGCAAACACGAAAGUGGACGUAUACGGUGUGACGCCUGCCCGGUGCCGGAAGGUUAAUUGAUGGGGUUAUCCGUAAGGAGAAGCUCUUGAUCGAAGCCCGGUAAACGGCGGCCGUAACUAUAACGGUCCUAAGGUAGCGAAAUUCCUUGUCGGGUAAGUUCCGACCUGCACGAAUGGCGUAAUGAUGGCGGGCUGUCUCCACCCGAGACUCAGUGAAAUUGAACUCGCUGUGAAGAUGCAGUGUACCCGCGGCAAGACGGAAAGACCCCGUGAACCUUUACUAUAGCUUGACACUGAACAUUGAGCCUUGAUGUGUAGGAUAGGUGGGAGGCUUUGAAGCGUGGACGCCAGUCUGCGUGGAGCCAACCUUGAAAUACCACCCUUUAAUGUUUGAUGUUCUAACGUUGGCCCUUACCGGGGUUGCGGACAGUGUCUGGUGGGUAGUUUGACUGGGGCGGUCUCCUCCCAAAGCGUAACGGAGGAGCACGAAGGUUAGCUAAUCUGGUCGGACAUCAGGAGGUUAGUGCAAUGGCAUAAGCUAGCUUGACUGCGAGCGUGACGGCGCGAGCAGGUGCGAAAGCAGGUCAUAGUGAUCCGGUGGUUCUGAAUGGAAGGGCCAUCGCUCAACGGAUAAAAGGUACUCCGGGGAUAACAGGCUGAUACCGCCCAAGAGUUCAUAUCGACGGCGGUGUUUGGCACCUCGAUGUCGGCUCAUCACAUCCCGGGCUGAAGUAGGUCCCAAGGGUAUGGCUGUUCGCCAUUUAAAGUGGUACGCGAGCUGGGUUUAGAACGUCGUGAGACAGUUCGGUCCCUAUCUGCCGUGGGCGCUGGAGAAUUGAGGGGGGCUGCUCCUAGUACGAGAGGACCGGAGUGGACGCAUCACUGGUGUUCGGGUUGUCAUGCCAAUGGCACUGCCCGGUAGCUAAAUGCGGAAGAGAUAAGUGCUGAAAGCAUCUAAGCACGAAACUUGCCCCGAGAUGAGUUCUCCUGAGACUUUAAGUCUCCUGAAGGAACGUUGAAGACGACGACGUUGAUAGGCCGGGUGUGUAAGCGCAGCGAUGCGUUGAGCUAACCGGUACUAAUGAACCGUGAGGCUUAACCUUACAACGCCGAAG